RNAcentral lists this ribosomal RNA (467 nucleotides) under uncultured bacterium. RNAcentral's name for it is "partial 16S ribosomal RNA". It matches the Rfam family "Bacterial small subunit ribosomal RNA", at positions 28 to 507 of the family's 1533-position model. The record is from RNAcentral.
GAUGAACGCUGGCGGCGUGCUUAACACAUGCAAGUCGAACGGAAAGGCCCAAGCUUGCUUGGGUACUCGAGUGGCGAACGGGUGAGUAACACGUGGGUGAUCUGCCCUGCACUUCGGGAUAAGCCUGGGAAACUGGGUCUAAUACUGGAUAGGACCACUUCCUGGAUGUUGUGGUGGAAAGUUUUUUCGGUGUGGGAUGAGCUCGCGGCCUAUCAGCUCGUUGGUGGGGUAAUGGCCUACCAAGGCGUCGACGGGUAGCCGGCCUGAGAGGGUGUACGGCCACAUUGGGACUGGGAUACGGCCCAGACUCCUACGGGGGGCAGCAGUGGGGAAUAUUGCACAAUGGGCGCAAGCCUGAUGCAGCGACGCCGCGUGGGGGAUGACGGCCUUCGGGUUGUAAACUCCUUUCGCUAGGGACGAAGCGUUUUGUGACGGUACCUGGAGAAGAAGCACCGGCUAACUACGUG